GCGAGGGUGGUGGAACUGGUAGACACGUACGUUUGAGGGGCGUAUGCUGAACAGCGUGAGGGUUCGAAUCCCUUCCCUCGCA
Molecule: transfer RNA, 82 nt
Filed under: Tissierellia bacterium
Lineage: Bacteria; Bacillati; Bacillota; Tissierellia
Description: tRNA-Leu
Rfam family: tRNA
About the family: Transfer RNA (tRNA) molecules are approximately 80 nucleotides in length. Their secondary structure includes four short double-helical elements and three loops (D, anti-codon, and T loops).
Source: RNAcentral